Eptesicus fuscus (big brown bat) is the source of this 5931-nucleotide long non-coding RNA. RefSeq lists it as uncharacterized. The record is from RefSeq and is a predicted model, not a curated record. NCBI's taxonomy places the organism in Eukaryota, Metazoa, Chordata, Mammalia, Chiroptera, Vespertilionidae. The transcript has 4 exons.
CCCUCUGUAAUCUGCGCCUCAGUUUCCUCCUCUGUCGAUGUUUGUGGGAUUAAAAGCGCUUUGUAAACUAUAAAGCGUCAGUGUACAUAAGGGAUCGUUAUUAUUUGUAAAAUUUUCUUGAUUUUUAAGAAAACAGCAGUUUCCCAACCCAUCGAUCUUGAACCUAGGAACCUUGGAUUGGAGUUGGAUAUUCCCAAACUCCCCGAAAUUGUAUGCAGAAAGUAGUGGGAAUGUGCAUUUUAGGGGAGUGAGGAUCCAUCGCCAACGACUUUUCAAAGGGAAAUGUCACCCCCCUCCCCCAAGAGUUAACCACAAUUUCUCAAUGCCACAGGGAGGAAACUGAGGCCUAGAUGUCAUUUGAGAUCCUCCACAACCAAUUUGAAGCCCCUGUUUGAAUCCCUGGGAUAUGUGAGCUUUUCUGUGCAUAAUGGAUAUUGGGGUAACAACACUCCACUGCUUGGCUUUUUUCCUGAGUCCUUUCCUUUCCCCAUGGGGUGCCUGAAGGGUGGCUAAUGCAUAUGGUACAGUGGCAUCCAGUAUAAAGCAGCUGAAACUAGGAGUGGAUGUGUUCUCUAGUAUCAAGAAGCCUAUUUAAUCUUUGGCCCAUUCACUUCGUUGCUGCUUAUACUGGUGCCUACCUUUCUGACUCUUUCAUUCACCAUUUUCCACGACCAUGUUUGCCAUCUGUUACUUGCUCCUAUUUUAUACCCCUAGUCUAUGUGGUUGGUAGUGAGCAGGCUUGUUUUUAAAUGGUGCUGCCACGUCUAGCUAAUUAAUGGUGCAGGUGGAUUUUUCGAAAGCUGGCUAACUGGAACAGACUGAUCCAGGCAUGGAAUUCCUGAAGAUGUUGGGGGGUUAUUUUUAUUAAUUGAAGGUUAACAUUUUCUGAAAAAUUGAGUUCGAACCUGUGCUGAACCUCAGAAUCAGUAGGUUUGGAAGUUUUUCCAAGCUUAACUUUUUUCCUGGACUGCUUUGUAUUCUCUUUGCUUGCAAGUGUGUUGCUAAGGUGGCCAAAAUGCCUGUUUUUUGCUUCUUUGUUAAUUGUCAGCUGCUUUUAUCUAAUUCCAGGCUAUUACCCAGCAAACACUAUAGAAAUGUUUGAACAGUUGGAUUUCAAACAUUUUUGUUCUGUGGAGUGGUACAACUCUAAACAAACGAACACACACGUUUAAGUGUAUUUUGUCUGGUUAGGUGUUACCCGGUUCUGCUAUUGCAUACAAAUGUCUGGAAAAAAAUCAAUUGACUGUUUCCUUUAUCUAAAGGGCAGAGACAAAUGAUCUCACUUCCAGAGAAAUAACUUAUUUGGGGGGGAAUGUGUUGGUCUUUUGUAAUAAAACCUGGAUGUACUGCAAAAGAAUCUUAAUUAAGAUUGUGGUGAGAAGAUGCUUUUCUCAGCAGAAAAGAGGGACACAAACAUCUGGAACUCAAAAGCUUGAAAUUCUGUGACAAAACACGAGAUGUCCAGGAUAGUGGGUUGAAAGGGUUUCACUACAGUGUUUCGCACUAGCUGGAGCAGAUGUCUUUCAGUCGCCACGGCGUGGACUCCAGAUUUGCAAGACCUGGGACCUGGAUGCGUUUAUGAGGAUGUGACAGGAACUCUGGAGCUGGAUAGUUUUAAUUUGGGGGCUGUUGACCUCGCUUUCAGAAGAGAGAUGACGACGACUAAGCAAGCAGUGCCACUGGCGCUCUUACUGGGAGUUUGAAGACCUGAGUUUCUGCCAGACCUCAGUGCAAACUCUGAUGACACUGCAUCCAAAGUGAACUACGAUAGCAAGCCCCUUGGAAAAAAGUCUUCGAAUCUUUGCCCACACAUACUACCACAUAUGAUGAAGCUUUUAAUAGGAAAGAGGAAUUUAGAGAGCAGGCUAUCCCAGAAUAAGUAUUCACCUACAGAUUUGGUACCUGGAUUUCUGUCCAUGGUGAUUCCUAUCACCUAACUACUGAAGAAGAUACCAUUCCAGUGGACCACUGUGACCCAAGGGACAGUCAACCAUCAUGAUGUGGUCUUCACCUCCACUCCUGACCUUUGCUACCCAGAUUGAGCACAUCCUUUAGGUGAAGUCAAACUCCUCAAGCCAGAUAGCUGAGACUGUUUUCAUCACAACAAAGGCUCAGUUUGUCCAUGCGUGUGUAUUUUGUUUCUUCAGUUAAAGCCUUCAGAGACACGUAAUAAAUUUGGACCAGGGGAUUCUUGGUUUUCAACAUUGUCUGAAGAAUGGUAACAUCUUGAGAACAACAUUGGACCACAAUCUCAAAUGUUUAUGAAGUGUUGAGGAUCCCAUACAGCAUUUUGUGAACAGCUUAUUCUUAGAUCAUUGGUUUUCCAAAGGCUCUGUGGCCAUGAAGCCCUUUGAACGAAAACUAUGUGGAAGCCCAAAGUAAAAGUGAAGUUGCUCUGGAUGAAGCAGAGUGGGGGUCCUGAAAUCUGCCACAAGCAUCUUCCUUUAUCGCCAUGGUGACACCUAAGGAGAGACUUCUUUACAGCACCUAGAAUUCUUCAGAACACUUUUUGAAAAACAGUACUCUAGACAACAAUAUGUUCGACCUGAAUGAUAUUCCAAUCUGUACCUCUACCCAACACAGUCCAUGUUCAGUUGGUACUGAACAUUCUUAGGAAUACUAUGGACAAACUCAGAAAAGUGCAAGAACUUUGCCUCUAAGUAGUUAUAUGGGCCAAAAGUAUAUCAAAUGAACCUAAAUUAAUCAUGCGCUACCCCCAUAUGGACUUACAGUAAUUCCUGGGUUUGGGUAUAGACAGUAAAUCAUACGUACUCUACACUGACAAACCCCCUUACCCAACUUCUUUCACAAACACCAGAUGCUCCGAUGGUACUUGAAAUACGUGAAUCUGAAGUCUUGAUCCUCCUUAGAUACCUGAAUUGCCAGGUAUUGAAGCUGAUGCCUCAUUGAGGCCAUAGUAGACCAACUUGUUCAUCGGACCUCCCAUCAUCAACCAUGGUACUCUACUUCCAUGUGCAAGGGGUAACCAUUAACUAUGAAAGCAGAAUGCAAAUUCUGGCAACAUUAAAAGGGUACCUGGUUUUAUCAUUCAUCUUAUUCUCAACUACAAGUCACUAUGACUCAAUCAGUGGCAGUAAUACUACUGCUUGGUUUUUACUUUUAACUGCUGUUUCCAGGAUAAAUGAGCUAAUGACAUUUAAUAAGCUAAAAUAAUUCCUCCAUCAUUGGCAUAUCUGCUUGGCAUAUUCUGCUCUUAUAAUUAUGAAUACUCUGCUCUAACUACAUGUAAGACCUAAUCCACAGGAGACCAUCUUUGAACAUCUUUUCUGAUGUAUGUCAUUUAAAAUGUGGCCAUUGGGAAAGUUUUCUUCUAGCCAUUGAGUUUUUCUUUUAAGAUGGGUCUUGAUGUCUGGUACCAUCAACUGUAGAUAUUAGGGAUAUUUUGAGGUAGGCACUUGCUGAGAAACUCAAAUUGUGUAUAAUCUUUUGCUGGAAAUGUAGACUGACUUGGAAAAAAAAAUCUACAAAUCCUGCAGCUAAAGAUUUUGUCAGUAGAUUCAAGCUUCCCGUUGUGCUUCCUAAUGUCACAAGACCACAGUCCCUUGUCCUUGUGGAUAUGUUCAUGGAAUUUUACCUGUCUCAAUACUGUUUGAACACUGAUUCAGAGUGGCCGACUUCAUUCCUCAGGCAUUGAGACAACUUACCUGUUUCUGCAGGAAGGAUUCAGUUUGUGAACUUCCAGACCAAAUCAUGUUAAACAAGUAGACUGAAAUCUUAUUUACUUCACAGUUGACUUAAGGGCCAGCUGUCCUCAACUACUUCAAUGAAUGCACUGGUUAAAUGUUGGAAAUGGUUUCUUUAUAUCUCUCUUAUCCACUAGACUAAUUAUGAGAACAUGACUUAGUCUUCAAAUCAAUCUAGGCCUAAGCCUGGUUACUCUAGACUGCUUACCAUCAACAGAUAAAAAUAAAAUGAUGACUAUCCUGCUUGUAUAUACAACUAUUUGUAAAAAAGAAAUCUACAAACUCACCUUUUUUACUGCCUUCAAAAUAUCAGCUAGAUUUUUCUUCUGUACAGGAAAAGACAUUGAUCUACACUGCCAGUCAUUCCCUUAAUUCCUGUCAAACUCAGUCAAAAUGAGGGGCUUAAGGUGAGGAUGAUCAUCUUUCAAGAGUCUAAUGAACACUGUGUAUAAGAAUUGAUGUUUGAAAAAGCAAAAAAAAAAAACUAAAAUUCAAACCUAAGUUCUUAACCUACUAUCUCCAUGCCUCAGAUCUCAUCUAAGUCCAGCAGCACCAUUCAACCAGUUUGAGACCUUGACUUGUUUUUGAUUCCCAGAGAUGUGCUGAAUUAUAGAAGAUGGAGAUUUUGAUAACCAAAGAAAGUAGUGCCAAUCUUGAUGAACCCUAUUAUUCCCAGGUGUAGGAAUAGACACCUAAACAGAACCUCAAGUCUGGAUUGAGAAUUUAGCCUUCUGAGCUGAAAAUUGUUGUUGGGCAAAUGAGCAGGAAAGUGAAAGCUGCUGUACCCGACUGGCUACUUAAGAUCUGAAAAGUGUAUCCAGAAUAAACACUAUGGAUUAACCCUGGAGUAUUCCAGGUAAAAACUAAUUCACAGAACUUCAAUAUUAAACUACGUGUUCUUCCUUAUACCCUUGUUACUGGUAUAGCUGGCCCUGCUGAAGGUACCCUACUUACCUAUUUACCUGACUCGGCCCUUGCCUGCCUUUUUUGACACAUUGCUGCAAUCAAACUUGCUGUCCUGGAACAGACCACAACUGAUCUCAGCCUAUCUUAUACCCGAUUCCACCAAGGAGUUUUGAACUGAAGCAACCUGCACCUCACUCCACCAGGAUUUCAUGUUCUCAACAGGAAGGACCAUGCUGUGUACUUUUUUGACCAGCAGCAGUCCUCUUUUUUAAGUGCAGAGUAAGCCUCAGCCUAUAUAUAUUUGAUCAUUUUCAGCACCUGGAGCUCCUUCUACCAGAUCUGAAGGAGUAUAGCAGAUUAAAAGCACUGUCAAUUUCUCUCUUCUGCAGUAAUACAGAAGUUGAGUCUGAAUCAACAGCACAGAAAUGAGAAAUGUCCAACUUGGCAAAAGACUUGAACACAAAAGAUUUCUAGGAAUUUCCAUGUACCACUGACUUGAAUAGCCUCACAGAACUACUUUCCAUUGGGAGACUAGUUGUCUUGCAUUAUGUCAACUAGAUAAUUGAGCUCUCAGACUCUUAUAUUGAAACUCCAUUGUAUCAUCUAGAGUAUGUUACUGGACAUGAUUAUUCCAUACAAAUGGAUUAUAAGCUUCCUGACCACAGGACAUACUCAUGAUAUGUGUGUUUUUCGGAAUACUUUUAUUACCAAGAAAGAAUAAUGCCAGCUGUUACAAUUCAACUUUAUGAGCAGAGAUUAAGCUUUUUCAAUAUCCGAUGUUAUCAUUGAUAUCAGUUACUUUUAAUUGACCAGCAUUUAUUCCAUCUCUUCGUAACAACUCCCUGAUGUUUCUUGGAACCGUAUCCUCCCUAUUUUCAGUCCACAGAGUCCAGACAGUCUGACCUAACCUUAGAGUUCAUGUGUGGACGUACUGUAGUUCAGACCUGAUCAAUCGGCAUAGUUCAUCUCCUUGAUCAUAGUGAUUGAUUCGAUUCAGGAAUGGUCAUGUGAUUCAAGUUGAUCCAGUGAUACUCAACCCUAGGAGUUUACUGAACCGUGGAAGAGGAAAAGCUCAGAAACUCUGUAUUUACUGAGGUUGCUUACCUUUGCAGGAUGAACAAGCUCAAACCAGCAGGGUCCACCAUAUAAAAUGAGCCAGUCAGAGAAUGAAGCCAGUGCAGAGGAAAGCGGAGCCAAAUGAUGGAGAGACUUGAGUCCUGAUGACAAUGUUUGUGCUCCUAGAUCCAUCCGUGCCUGAAGCUAGUAUAUCCUCUGGAUUUUUCAGUUUUGUGAACCAAUAAAUACCCUUUUGUUUAAGUUA